This 774-nucleotide ribosomal RNA is filed under the name uncultured Neocallimastigales. Its description in RNAcentral is "partial large subunit ribosomal RNA". It matches the Rfam family "Eukaryotic large subunit ribosomal RNA", at positions 22 to 637 of the family's 3401-position model. The record is from RNAcentral. Lineage: Eukaryota; Fungi; Neocallimastigomycota; Neocallimastigomycetes; Neocallimastigales.
GUACACGCUGUGACUAGCAUAUCAAUAAGCGGAGGAAAAGAAACUAACAAGGAUUCCCCUAGUAACGGCGAGUGAAGCGGGAAGAGCUCAAAUUUGAAAUCUUAAAGGGUUUCCCUUUACGAAUUGUAGUUUAAAGAAGUGUUUUCUGUUGAGGUUUUGGUAAAAGUUCUUUGGAAUAGGACAUCAUAGAGGGUGAGAAUCCCGUAUUUGACCUUUACUUUCAACUUUGUGAUACACUUUCAAAGAGUCGGAUUGUUUGGGAAUGCAGUCCAAAAUGGGUGGUAAAUUUCAUCUAAAGCUAAAUAUUGGCGAGAGACCGAUAGCGAACAAGUACCGUGAGGGAAAGAUGAAAAGAACUUUGAAAAGAGAGUUAACCAGUACGUGAAAUUGUCAAAAGGGAAGCGUUUGACACCAGUGUUGUUUUUCUGAAAAUCAAUUAAAGAACUGUUUAUGCUAAGUUGUUUAGACUUUAUCAGCUAACUGUUUAGUUUUGAGCUUUUCUUUAAUGCACUUUUCAGUUAACAAGUCAACAUCAAUUUCUUUUGCUGUAAAAAAGCUUGAGGAAGGUGGCUUGAGAUUCGUCUUAAGUGUUUAUAGCCUCUUGCCUAUGCAGUCGGAGAGAUUGAGGUCUGCAGCGUAGAUCCUUCGGGGCUAAAUGCAUUUGUGCUAAGUUAUAGCAUUUUAUAGACAACUUGUUGACUAUGAUUUGUCUUGUAGCUUACUCGCUUAUGUUAUUUUACCUACGCUUAGGAUGUUGACAGCAGUAUAGACUGU